UGGGGAAUAUUGCACAAUGGGGGAAACCCUGAUGCAGCGACGCCGCGUGAACGAAGAAGGUAUUCGUAUCGUAAAGUUCUGUCCUAUGGGAAGAUAAUGACAGUACCAUAGAAGAAAGCUCCGGCUAAAUACGUGCCAGCAGCCGCGGUAAUACGUAUGGAGCGAGCGUUGUCCGGAAUUAUUGGGCGUAAAGGGUACGCAGGCGGUUGAAUAAGUCGAAUGUUAAAGAUCGGGGCUCAACCCCGUAAAGCAUUGGAAACUGAUAAACUUGAGUAGUGGAGAGGAAAGUGGAAUUCCUAGUGUAGUGGUGAAAUACGUAGAUAUUAGGAGGGAUCCCAGUAGCUAAUGCGAGUUUCUGGACACAAACUGACGCUGAGGUACGAAAGCGUGGGGAGCAAACAGG
Molecule: ribosomal RNA, 403 nt
Filed under: bacterium
Lineage: Bacteria
Description: partial 16S ribosomal RNA
Rfam family: Bacterial small subunit ribosomal RNA
Source: RNAcentral